GUUAAAAAGCUCGUAGUUGGAUCUCGGCGGGCAGGGGGUGGUUCGCUCUUCAGCGCUACUGCCCCGCUUUGCCCGUGUGAUUGGCGGAGGUUUCGGGGUGCUCUUCGUCGAGUGACUCGGAGUGCCGUCAGGUUUACUUUGAAAAAAUUAGAGUGCUCAAAGCAGGCUGUUCACGCUUGAAUAUUCGUGCAUGGAAUAAUGGAAUAGGAACUCGUUUCUAUUUUGUUGGUUUUCGGAGAUCGAGUUAAUGAUUAACAGGGACAAUUGGGGGCAUUAGUAUUCGACGACAGAGGUGAAAUUCUUGGACCGUCUGAAGACUGACUACUGCGAAAGCAUUUGCCAAGAGUGUUUUCAUUAAUCAAGAACGAAAGUUAGAGGUUCGAAGGCGAUCAGAUACCGCCCUAGUUCUAACCAUAAACGAUGCCAGCUAGCGAUCUGCCGAGUUUUUUUUGUAAGCUCCGCAGGAAGCUUUCGGGAAACCAAAGCUUUUGGGUUCCGGGGGAAGUAUGGUUGCAAAGCUGAAACUUAAAGGAAUUGACGGAAGGGCACCACCAAGAGUGGAGCCUGCGGCUUAAU
Molecule: ribosomal RNA, 576 nt
Filed under: uncultured eukaryote
Lineage: Eukaryota
Description: SSU rRNA
Rfam family: Eukaryotic small subunit ribosomal RNA
Source: RNAcentral